Molecule: small nuclear RNA, 94 nt
Filed under: Homo sapiens (human)
Lineage: Eukaryota; Metazoa; Chordata; Mammalia; Primates; Hominidae
Source: RNAcentral
UGCUCACUUUAGCAACACAUACUAAAAUUGGAACCAUACUGAGAAGAAUAGCAUGACCUCCAUGCAAACAGGACAUGCAAAUUUGUGAUGUGUU